UGACGAGCGGCGGACGGGUGAGUAAUGUCUGGGAAACUGCCUGAUGGAGGGGGAUAACUACUGGAAACGGUAGCUAAUACCGCAUAACGUCGCAAGACCAAAGUGGGGGACCUUCGGGCCUCAUGCCAUCAGAUGUGCCCAGAUGGGAUUAGCUGGUAGGUGGGGUAACGGCUCACCUAGGCGACGAUCCCUAGCUGGUCUGAGAGGAUGACCAGCCACACUGGAACUGAGACACGGUCCAGACUCCUACGGGAGGCAGCAGUGGGGAAUAUUGCACAAUGGGCGCAAGCCUGAUGCAGCCAUGCCGCGUGUGUGAAGAAGGCCUUCGGGUUGUAAAGCACUUUCAGCGGGGAGGAAGGCGGUGAGGUUAAUAACCUCGUCGAUUGACGUUACCCGCAGAAGAAGCACCGGCUAACUCCGUGCCAGCAGCCGCGGUAAUACGGAGGGUGCAAGCGUUAAUCGGAAUUACUGGGCGUAAAGCGCACGCAGGCGGUCUGUCAAGUCGGAUGUGAAAUCCCCGGGCUCAACCUGGGAACUGCAUUCGAAACUGGCAGGCUAGAGUCUUGUAGAGGGGGGUAGAAUUCCAGGUGUAGCGGUGAAAUGCGUAGAGAUCUGGAGGAAUACCGGUGGCGAAGGCGGCCCCCUGGACAAAGACUGACGCUCAGGUGCGAAAGCGUGGGGAGCAAACAGGAUUAGAUACCCUGGUAGUCCACGCUGUAAACGAUGUCGAUUUGGAGGUUGUGCCCUUGAGGCGUGGCUUCCGGAGCUAACGCGUUAAAUCGACCGCCUGGGGAGUACGGCCGCAAGGUUAAAACUCAAAUGAAUUGACGGGGGCCCGCACAAGCGGUGGAGCAUGUGGUUUAAUUCGAUGCAACGCGAAGAACCUUACCUGGUCUUGACAUCCACAGAACUUUCCAGAGAUGGAUUGGUGCCUUCGGGAACUGUGAGACAGGUGCUGCAUGGCUGUCGUCAGCUCGUGUUGUGAAAUGUUGGGUUAAGUCCCG
RNAcentral lists this ribosomal RNA (1004 nucleotides) under Klebsiella oxytoca. Its description in RNAcentral is "bacterial SSU rRNA". It matches the Rfam family "Bacterial small subunit ribosomal RNA", at positions 89 to 1089 of the family's 1533-position model. Lineage: Bacteria; Pseudomonadati; Pseudomonadota; Gammaproteobacteria; Enterobacterales; Enterobacteriaceae. The record is from RNAcentral.